CCGGCACCCUUUUAACCAAAACCUGCAUUUCUAUCAAAUAUUAUUUACAAUGGUCGAGUACGUUGGUGAAAAUGGACAUCAUCACCUCCUAGGCUCUUUACAUGGUAAAAUUAGUUCAAUCAUGUGUGAAACUAAAUCAAUUUAUAGUGUAUGUCCCUCUUCAUUUCCAUCUCUUGGAAUUCUUCAGUCCUUUAGACUUUUGUUUUGCAGCCUGAAAGGCCUGCAUUUUUUGUUUCUUCCGAGCUUCCUUCUCAGCCUUUGACAUCUUUGAUUUGGCCUUCACUUUGGGAGCUCUUUCCUCGAGCUCUGCCUCACGUUCAAGUUCUCUUGCCCUUGCAUCAAGGUUUUUCUCCAGAUAAUAAUUGUAAUCGCCUGCAUAAUCUUGUAGCUGGCCAUCUUUAACUUCAAUUACUCUAUUAACUAUUUGCUUUAUGAAGUAUCUGUCAUGAGAAACUGUGAUGAUUGUACCCUUAUAUUCUGUUAUGGCCUCCUCAAGCAUCUCUUUUGAAGGUAUAUCCAAAUGAUUAGUUGGUUCAUCCAGAACCAGCAAAGUUGAAGGUUUCACCAUGAAUUUGCAAAAUGCUAGACGUGCCUUCUCACCACCACUCAAAAGGGAAACCUUUCUAUCAAGCAUAUCAGCUUUGAAAUUACAACGCCCAAGCAGUCCCUUUAUAUCAUCAGUUCUCCAGUCCUCUGCAACUUCUUCCACAGUUUGAAGCACCGUUUUAUCUAAAUCAAGUGCCUCCGCCUGGUUCUGCUCAAAAUAGUUGGGUAGUACAUUAUGCUCCCCAAGUACAAUUUCACCUGCUUUCUGCUUCACUAAGCCCAUUAUCAGCUUCAGUAAAGUGCUUUUCCCACAUCCAUUUGGGCCAAUAAUGGCAAUUUUCUCACCUCUUUCUAUUGUAAGAUUAGUCCUAUUAAACAGCACCUUAUCCUCAUAACUGAAUUCCAAAUUCUUAAUCAUUACAACAGUUCUUCCACUUCUUCCACGCUCUGGGAAGCAGAUCUUCAUUUGUUUGCGUUGAAAUGGCUUCUCUAUUUGAUCCUCUUCUCGAAGUCUCUCCAGUUUCUUCUCAGCAGAAGAAGCACGGCCAGAAUUUGCUCCUGCACCCAACCUGCUUAUUAAGCCCCUGGUUUGCUCAAUUUCCUUUUGCUGCUUCUCCCAGGCUGCAUACUGAGCUUCAAUCCAUGCUGCCUUGGACACAAGGAACUGAGAAUAAUUUCCCUCAUACGUCCUAGCCACACCCAUUUCAGUCUCCACAAUUUUUGUACAAAGUUGAUCAAGAAAAGCUCUGUCAUGAGAUAUGAUGACCAUCGGCACGUCUUGCUUCUGGAGAUAACCUUCAAGCCACUCAAUUGUGUCAAGGUCAAGGUGAUUUGUGGGUUCAUCCAAAAGCAACAAAUCCGGGUCCUGCAGCAAAAUCUUCCCAAGCGACAUCCUCAUCUGCCACCCACUACUGAAGGAGGCAACCAACCUAUCCGAAUCCUCAGGGGCAAACCCAAGUUCGGGCAUCAACUUACUGAUCUUGGCAUCAACUUCAUCCAAGUCCACAGCCUGUGCUCUCCUCUGCAACAAAUCAAACUCAUCCAAUAAUCUCCCCAUCAGCUCCAAGUCCUCCACAGCUCCCUCUAUCGCCUUUUGCACCUUCUCCAGCCUCCCAGCAAUCUCCAUUUCUUCUUCAAACGCACUCAUGAACUCCUCCUUAACAGUCCUACUCAAAGAAACCUCGAAUUCUUGACUCAAGAACGCGAUUUUCAUGUUGGAUUUCGCUUUGAUUACGUUCCCAGAAUCAGGUUCUUCCUGUCCGGUAAUAAUUCUCAACUGGGUCGUUUUGCCCGCCCCAUUCACACCUACCAGUCCUACUUUCUCACCUUUUUUCACUUCCCAAGUCACAUCUUUCAACACGGUGACUCCUUUGUAGCUCUUGCUUAUGUUUUCGAGCUUGAUACCCGAUGAAAUACCCGAAGCCCCAGUAUGCGAAUGCUUAUGUGCACCUUUCCUGCCGAAUUCAUCAGAAGAACUGCUCGAAAACAAGGACUCAAUAUCGGUCUCGGGCUCGGCAACCGAUGUUUCGACGGUGGCGGUGGAUAACUGAGCAGUGAUUUUUGAAUUCCCUCUUCUGCAUACAAAAGGAGCCGCAAUUUUGAGCGAACUGUGAUCGUUUUUAAUGGGUUUUGAGCUAUGCCUAAAACGGGGAAGUCGAAGAGAUUUACUGGCACCAAACAGAUGCGAACCGGUGACGAAAGAAGAGUGGAGGUCUAGACGGUGGAACUUGAUGGAUAAGUCCAUGUUUGGCAAAUGGGAAAUUGGGUAAAGGGGCUGAGAUCCUCGCAGGGAAACUCUGCGAAUUGAACAGAGUGAACUCAGAGAAGAACUUCUCAACCCAUUGACAAGAUAAUUGUAAAGGCAGAGGGCUUUAGAUGCAAUGGCAAAACGACAACGAAAGUG
This 2449-nucleotide unclassified non-coding RNA is filed under the name Hevea brasiliensis (rubber tree). Lineage: Eukaryota; Viridiplantae; Streptophyta; Magnoliopsida; Malpighiales; Euphorbiaceae. The record is from RNAcentral.